ACGUAGGGUGCGAGCGUUAAUCGGAAUUACUGGGCGUAAAGGGCGCGUAGGCGGCUUGUUAAGUCGGCUGUGAAAGCCCGGGGCUCAGCUCCGGAAGUGCGUCGGAAACUAGUCGGCUGGAGCGCGGUAGAGGAGAAUGGAAUUCCUAGUGUAGCGGUGAAAUGCGUAGAGAUUAGGAAGAACACCAGUGGCGAAGGCGAUUCUCUGGACCGUAACUGACGCUGAGGCAUGAAAGCGUGGGUAGCAAACA
RNAcentral lists this ribosomal RNA (250 nucleotides) under uncultured bacterium. RNAcentral's name for it is "partial 16S ribosomal RNA". It matches the Rfam family "Bacterial small subunit ribosomal RNA", at positions 525 to 774 of the family's 1533-position model. The record is from RNAcentral.